GCAUGUCUAAGUAUAAAUAACUACACAGUAAAACUGCGAAUGGCUCAUUAAAACAGUUAUAGUUUAUUUGAUACAUUAAAUGGAUAACUGUAGGAAACUAGAGCUAAUACAUGCCAAGGUCGUAAGACUGCAUUUAUUAGAUAUGCCAAGACGGUGAAUCAUGAUAACUUAGCAAAUCGAAACCACGUUUCGAUAAAUCAUUCAAGUUUCUGACCUAUCAUGCUCUCGAUGGUAGUGUAUUGGACUACCAUGGCAGUCACGGGUAACGGAGAAUUAGGGUUCGAUUCCGGAGAAGGAGCCUGAGAAACGGCUACUACAUCUACGGAAGGCAGCAGGCGCGUAAAUUACCCAAUCCUAAAUCGGGGAGGUAGUGACAAGAUAUAACAACGCGACCAAAAAUCGCGAUUGUAGUGAGGGUAUUCUAAACAUAGCUUCGAGUACGAUGGAGGGCAAGUCUGGUGCCAGCAGCCGCGGUAAUUCCAGCUCCAAUAGCGUAUAUUAAAGUUGUUGCAGUUAAAAAGCUCGUAGUUAGACUACAAGAAUCGCAUCUGGGCAACCAGCAUGCAUUCUACCAGCCCUAGGCUGUUACUGUGAGAAAAUUAGAGUGUUUCAAGCAGGCUAUUGCAGGAAUACAUUAGCAUGGAAUAACGAAUGUGUCUACAAUUUGGUUGAUUGUAGGUUACAAUUAAUAGGGACAGUUGGGGGCAUUAGUAUUUAAUAGUCAGAGGUGAAAUUCUUGGAUUUGUUAAAGACUAACGUAUGCGAAAGCAUUUGCCAAGGAUGUUUUCAUUAAUCAAGAACGAAAGAUAGGGGAUCAAAGACGAUCAGAUACCGUCGUAGUCCUAUCUAUAAACUAUGCCGACUAGGGAUUAGUGCGGUCAGUACCGCAUUAGUACCUUAUGAGAAAUCAAAGUCUUUGGGUUCUGGGGGGAGUAUGGUCGCAAGACUGAAACUUAAAGAAAUUGACGGAAGGGCACCACCAGGAGUGGAGCCUGCGGCUUAAUUUGACUCAACACGGGGAAACUUACCAGGUCCGGACGCAGUGAGGAUUGACAGAUUGAUAGCUCUUUCUUGAUUCUGUGGGUGGUGGUGCAUGGCCGUUCUUAGUUGGUGGAGUGAUUUGUCUGGUUAAUUCCGAUAACGAACGAGACCUUAACCUGCUAAAUAGUUACGCCAAUUUUAUUGGUGUCGACUUCUUAGAGGGACUAUGUC
RNAcentral lists this ribosomal RNA (1212 nucleotides) under metagenome. Its description in RNAcentral is "SSU rRNA". It matches the Rfam family "Eukaryotic small subunit ribosomal RNA", at positions 53 to 1426 of the family's 1831-position model. The record is from RNAcentral.